This 435-nucleotide ribosomal RNA is filed under the name uncultured bacterium. RNAcentral describes it as "partial 16S ribosomal RNA". It matches the Rfam family "Bacterial small subunit ribosomal RNA", at positions 29 to 507 of the family's 1533-position model. The record is from RNAcentral.
AACGAACGCUGGCGGCAUGCCUAACACAUGCAAGUCGAACGAUUGCCUUCGGGUGAUAGUGGCGCACGGGUGCGUAACGCGUGGGAAUCUGCCCUUAGGUUCGGAAUAACAGCUGGAAACGGCUGCUAAUACCGGAUGAUAUCGCGAGAUCAAAGAUUUAUCGCCUGAGGAUGAGCCCGCGUUGGAUUAGGUAGUUGGUGGGGUAAAGGCCUACCAAGCCGACGAUCCAUAGCUGGUCUGAGAGGAUGAUCAGCCACACUGGGACUGAGACACGGCCCAGACUCCUCCGGGAGGCAGCAGUGGGGAAUAUUGGACCAUGGGCGCAAGCAUGAUCCAGCAAUGCCGCGUGAGUGAUGAAGGCCCUAGGGUUGUAAAGCUCUUUUACCCGGGAAGAUAAUGACUGUACCGGGAGAAUAAGCCCCGGCUAACUCCGUG